This 505-nucleotide ribosomal RNA is filed under the name uncultured bacterium. RNAcentral's name for it is "partial 16S ribosomal RNA". It matches the Rfam family "Bacterial small subunit ribosomal RNA", at positions 29 to 523 of the family's 1533-position model. The record is from RNAcentral.
AGUGAACGCUGGCGGUAGGCCUAACACAUGCAAGUCGAACGGCAGCACAGGAGAGCUUGCUCUCUGGGUGGCGAGUGGCGGACGGGUGAGGAAUACAUCGGAAUCUACUUUUUCGUGGGGGAUAACGUAGGGAAACUUACGCUAAUACCGCAUACGACCUACGGGUGAAAGCAGGGGACCUUCGGGCCUUGCGCGAUUGAAUGAGCCGAUGUCGGAUUAGCUAGUUGGCGGGGUAAGGCCAACCAAGGCGACGAUCCGUAGCUGGUCUGAGAGGAUGAUCAGCCACACUGGAACUGAGACACGGUCCAGACUCCUACGGGAGGCAGCAGUGGGGAAUAUCGGACAAUGGGCGCAAGCCUGAUCCAGCCAUACCGCGUGGGUGAAGAAGGCCUUCGGGUUGUAAAGCCCUUUUGUUGGGAAAGAAAUCCAGCUGGCUAAUACCCGGUUGGGAUGACGGUACCCAAAGAAUAAGCACCGGCUAACUUCGUGCCAGCAGCCGCCGUAA